UACGUAGGGUGCGAGCGUUGUCCGGAAUGAUUGGGCGUAAAGCGUCCGCAGGUGGCAGUUCAAGUCUGCUGUCAAAGACCGGGGCUUAACUUCGGAAAGGCAGUGGAAACUGAACAGCUAGAGUAUGGUAGGGGCAGAGGGAAUUCCUGGUGUAGCGGUGAAAUGCGUAGAGAUCAGGAAGAACAUCGGUGGCGAAGGCGCUCUGCUGGACCAUAACUGACACUCAGGGACGAAAGCUAGGGGAGCGAAUGGG
This 253-nucleotide ribosomal RNA is filed under the name uncultured bacterium. Its description in RNAcentral is "partial 16S ribosomal RNA". It matches the Rfam family "Bacterial small subunit ribosomal RNA", at positions 524 to 776 of the family's 1533-position model. The record is from RNAcentral.